Nilaparvata lugens (brown planthopper) is the source of this 521-nucleotide long non-coding RNA. RefSeq lists it as uncharacterized. The transcript has 3 exons. Lineage: Eukaryota; Metazoa; Arthropoda; Insecta; Hemiptera; Delphacidae. The record is from RefSeq and is a predicted model, not a curated record.
CGGCAGCUUUGUUAGCCGGUACUCAGUCAGUUUCGUGUUGAACGUUGAUGUGUGAACAGAACUAGUCUGAGCCCUGCCAACCCCAUUAGUACACGGCGGUAGUGAGUGUCAGUGUUAUCAUCAAAAACAGAGAUUUUGUUCUCUCGCGGUGAGGUUACAGUUACUGUACAAGUCAUCGAGUAUUCACACUCGUUUAGCUGUUUCUUAGUGUGUAGUUCCUAUCUCUAUCUCUCUCUCUAUCUAUCCGUCUCUCUCUCUUCGACUCAGUUUUGCAAGUGAAACCAUCAGUGCUGAUUGUUGUUGUUCAGUGUGUGGGCAAUUGAUUGAUUGAUUGAGAAAUUUUGUGAGAAAUCGAGAGAAGAUCACCAAGGCCAUGGAAUCACAAGACGGAAGCACCGGACCGGCUGAGGUGCCUAAUGAUCCUGGGAAAAUGUUCAUCGGAGGGCUGAGUUGGCAGACUAGUCCAGGUAAGCUACAUUAUCAUCCUGCAAUGGGGAGACAUAUGUACUAGACUACUGAGU